GACGAACGCUGGCGGCGUGCUUAACACAUGCAAGUCGAACGGAAAGGCCCUGCUUUUGUGGGGUGCUCGAGUGGCGAACGGGUGAGCAACACGUGAGUAACCUGCCCUUGACUUUGGGAUAACUUCAGGAAACUGGGGCUAAUACCGGAUAAGAGCUCCUGCUGCAUGGUGGGGGUUGGAAAGUUUCGGCGGUUGGGGAUGGACUCGCGGCUUAUCAGCUUGUUGGUGGGGUAGUGGCUUACCAAGGCUUUGACGGGUAGCCGGCCUGAGAGGGUGACCGGCCACAUUGGGACUGAGAUACGGCCCAGACUCCUACGGGAGGCAGCAGUGGGGAAUAUUGCACAAUGGGCGGAAGCCUGAUGCAGCAACGCCGCGUGCGGGAUGACGGCCUUCGGGUUGUAAACCGCUUUCGCCUGUGACGAAGCGUGAGUGACGGUAAUGGGUAAAGAAGCACCGGCUAACUACGUG
Molecule: ribosomal RNA, 468 nt
Filed under: uncultured bacterium
Lineage: Bacteria
Description: partial 16S ribosomal RNA
Rfam family: Bacterial small subunit ribosomal RNA
Source: RNAcentral